This is a long non-coding RNA of Photinus pyralis (common eastern firefly), 737 nucleotides long. RefSeq lists it as uncharacterized. The transcript has 4 exons. The record is from RefSeq and is a predicted model, not a curated record. NCBI's taxonomy places the organism in Eukaryota, Metazoa, Arthropoda, Insecta, Coleoptera, Lampyridae.
UUAAUUUACCCUUAUAAGCAAUGCUCUAUGUAUAACAAAUGUGAGCAGACGUAUUUCGUAUUUUGUUUCUAAAAUUGCUCGUGAAAUUUUCAAGGUGAAUGCCAUUACCAAAAGGAAAUAAUAAGACCAGUUUCACAUUAGUCAGAAUAAUCAGUUAUCAGGUGAAAGUGUCGUCACUCACAGAACAAUCAUUUUACUUUAUGCAGUUUAAUAUUUGCGUUGUAAUCGAACCGUUCAUUUUCACCAUCAGUUUUGUAGUUUCGUGCCUUUAAAAAUGAAGAAAAUUAUCCAGGAUUAAUGGAAUGGCGUAAGAAGCAAUAGAGGAAUUCGAUCAAAUGAACUACAAUAUCGCUAAGUUUUUUGAGUGAAUUAUUUUUGAAAGAACUGUCAAUUGAGUAUAAAGUGGUACAUAUUUCUCCCUUUAGAUUAUUGAAAUGGCAUAAGAAACAAUGAAAGAACCCAGCCAAGUGGAUGAAAAGAUAGGGGACACUUUUUUAUUAAUGAUUUUUUUGAAAACUGUCAAUUGAUCGUAAAGUAUUACUCAUUUCUACCUUAGAUUAAUGAAAUGGCAUAACAAACAAUGUGUGAGGUGUCAAUUGAUUCUAAAGUAAUACACGUUUCUCCUUUCAAAUUAAUGGAAUGGUGUAAGCAGCAGCGGAAAACUCAGGCCAUACGUGGGCGGAAUCGAGGGGAAUGGCAUAAGAAACAACGGAGAAAGUCAACCAAGUGAACGGGAA